Molecule: ribosomal RNA, 213 nt
Filed under: uncultured bacterium
Lineage: Bacteria
Description: partial 16S ribosomal RNA
Rfam family: Bacterial small subunit ribosomal RNA
Source: RNAcentral
AGAGUUUGAUCCUGGCUCAGGAUGAACGCUAGCGGCAGGCUUAACACAUGCAAGUCGAGGGGCAUCAUUGGAGUAGCAAUACUUCAGAUGGCGACCGGCGCACGGGUGCGUAACGCGUAUGCAACCUACCUUUAACAGGGGGAUAACACUGAGAAAUCGGUACUAAUACCCCAUAACAUCGCAGACGGCAUCGUUUGCGGUUGAAAACUCCGG